Non-coding RNA from Camellia sinensis, 348 nucleotides. The record is from RefSeq and is a predicted model, not a curated record. NCBI's taxonomy places the organism in Eukaryota, Viridiplantae, Streptophyta, Magnoliopsida, Ericales, Theaceae.
UUAUCGGUUUUGAGUUCGAACAAGUGUUUGCAUUUUCAUUUUAGCACAUGAUUAUUUGUUAAAAUUUGUUCUUUUUCUUUGGUAGGUUGUUGCAAUUAUUGUAUUUUGCUUGUUGGUUGUCGCAUUCUAUGCUUUCUUUGCCCCUUUCCUUGGAGGCCAAAUCUGGGAGUAUGCCUUGUUUGGCACUUAUUCGCUGGUGGUGCGCAAGUUCAGCAAACACUGCAGAAGUUGUGAUAAAUGUGUGGAUGGAUUUGAUCACCAUUGUCGGUGGCUCAACAACUGUGUAGGGAGAAAAAACUACCUAACUUUCAUUUCUCUUACGGCCACUAGUCUCGUUUGGGUAUGUUU